CCUAGUAACGGCGAGUGAAGCGGCAACAGCUCAAAUUUGAAAUCUGGCGCAAGCCCGAGUUGUAAUUUGUAGAGGAUGCUUCUGGGCAGCGGCCGGUCUAAGUUCCUUGGAACAGGACGUCAUAGAGGGUGAGAAUCCCGUAUGCGACCGGUUGGCACCCGUCACGUAGCUCCUUCGACGAGUCGAGUUGUUUGGGAAUGCAGCUCUAAAUGGGAGGUAAAUGCCUUCUAAAGCUAAAUACCGGCCAGAGACCGAUAGCGCACAAGUAGAGUGAUCGAAAGAUGAAAAGCACUUUGGAAAGAGAGUUAAAAAGCACGUGAAAUUGUUGAAAGGGAAGCGCAUGCAACCAGACUUGUCGGCGGUGUUCCGCCGGUCUUUUGACCGGUCUACUCGCCGUCGGCAGGCCAGCAUCACUUGGGAGCGCCGGAUAAAGGCGCGGGGAAUGUGGCUCCUCGGAGUGUUAUAGCCCCGCGUGCAAUACGGCGCCUUCCGAGUGAGGUCCGCGCUUCGGCUAGGAUGCUGGCGUAAUGGUUGUCUGCGGCCCGUCUUGAAACACGGACCAAGGAGUCUAACAUCUGUGCGAGUGUUCGGGUGUCAAACCCCUACGCGUAAUGAAAGUGAACGGAGGUGGGAACUUCGGUGCACCAUCGACCGAUCCUGAUGUCCUCGGAUGGAUUUGAGUAAGAGCAUAGCUGUUGGGACCCGAAAGAUGGUGAACUAUGCCUGAAUAGGGUGAAGCCAGAGGAAACUCUGGUGGAGGCUCGCAGCGGUUCUGACGUGCAAAUCGA
This 788-nucleotide ribosomal RNA is filed under the name Intumescentia tinctorum. Its description in RNAcentral is "partial large subunit ribosomal RNA". It matches the Rfam family "Eukaryotic large subunit ribosomal RNA", at positions 79 to 901 of the family's 3401-position model. The record is from RNAcentral. Lineage: Eukaryota; Fungi; Ascomycota; Dothideomycetes; Mycosphaerellales; Teratosphaeriaceae.